UAUAGCCUACCAUUUUUUUGCAACACGUUUUUUGUGUUGUCAAUGUAAGCCUAUGAUCGAUGAUACAUGCAGACUGAAUGAACCUUCCAAACAAACACAGGUGGAGAGAUGGCUAACAAACAGCGACAACUCCCAUCCUGGAUGGGAGAAAUGCGUAAAGGUGGCGACAGCUUAAACAAAAAAGUUAGAACUAAGGCAAAAAAGCAGCUCUCUCCGAGGAUGACGGUCUAUCUUCUGAAUGAGUGUGAACUCGUGCAAAGCGCUCUUAACUUCGGGAACGUGGGAAACAGAAUAUGUAAAGGACUUUCAGAAAAGGUCAAAGCGGAUCCUCCAUUGGAUAGAAUACAAGAAGGGAUCAACUCGUGUGAGCAGGGUACCUCUGAUUCAGUGUGUGCAAGGACAUGCAUUUCUGAAUCGUAUUUGGAUACAACAGAUCUAGAGACUCUUCCAUAUGGCAAUAAUGACCAGGGGCACAAAUCAGACAAUGAGAACUGUGUAAACAGUAUACUGACAGAGCAUCCUGAUACUGGAUCUGAUGAUGAUGCUCUGAAGUUUGUGAGGGAGAUUUUUUUCAAAUGAUGGAGGAAGAAGCCUUUAUCUUUCAAGAUGAAGUUCAUACCACAAUUCAGACAGAAGUCUGCAUCUUUCACUAGGAGAGCAUGGAAUGGAACAAUAACUUUCCUGAAUAAAAUGUGGACUGUUGAAGGAUGGUGAGGUCACAUACAGCCCUCAGCAUUCAACAAGUUGUAGCCAGAAUACACUGUAGGCUACCACCACUUUUCAGGCAGAACAAAAAGCAUUUUUGAUGUCUCAUUACACACUUGGACACUAGAAUCCAGACUGUGCAGGACUUGAAUCUUGUGUUUUAGUUUCCCCCUAUAAGACAUUAAAACUGGCAUAUGAAACAAAUUAAUUUUAUAUCAAAAUAUUAAAAUAGAUACUAAUAAACCUCUUGAUGCAUCUAUUGUAAAAUAUUUAGUUAAUUGUCUUAAGCUACCAGAUGAGACUAUAAAUCAGUCUUUCCUAAUUUCCUGAAAAAACAGAAUCACACACAUUU
Sardina pilchardus (European sardine) is the source of this 1057-nucleotide long non-coding RNA. RefSeq lists it as uncharacterized. The transcript has 3 exons. NCBI's taxonomy places the organism in Eukaryota, Metazoa, Chordata, Actinopteri, Clupeiformes, Clupeidae. The record is from RefSeq and is a predicted model, not a curated record.